AUGUUUUUGAUUCUGAAAAACUUUGCUUCCUGGCAUCCAGGAGUUAGAGAUUGAGCCUUUCAUCUUCUUUCUCAAAACUAGUUUUUGAUGCUAUCUUUCAUGGGAAUAGUCACUUUUUAAUUUUAUUUAAUAAACUGCAUUGCCGGAAAAAAAAAAUGUUCUGUUCUCAUACUGCUAAUAAAGUCAUAUCAAGACUGGGUAAUUUAUAAAAGACAUAGGUUUAGUGGACUCACAGUUCCACAUGGAUGAGGACGCCUCACAAUCAUGGUAAAAGAUGAAGGAAGAGGAAAAAGGCAUCUUACAUGGUGGCAGGCACAAAGGCCUGUGCAGGGAAACUCCCCUUUAUAAAACCAUUAGAUCCCAUGAGACUUAUCCACUACCCCAAGAACAGUAUAGGACAACCGGUUCUAUAGUUCAAUUAUAUUUACCUGGUCUCACUGCUGACACAUGGGGAGUAUUACAAUUCAAGGUGGGAUUUUGGUGGGGACACAGCCAAACCAUGUCACUCUUAUCUCCUGUCUGGACCCUGCCCAUACGGGAGAUUUUGACACAUCACUGAACCCAGCAUCUUGGUGAUGUGAAUCUCCUGGGCCCUCCCCUCAAUGAAAAUGGUGACAUGUCACUGGGCUCAGUACUUAGGUGAUGUGACUUCCCUCUCCUGCCUGGACUCUGUCCUAGAAGAGAGUGGUAAGAUAUCACUGAGACCAGCACUUAUGGUCUGUGGUAAUGUGAUUCUCAGCUUCUCUCAGGGCCCUGUUUACAAGGGGCAAGGUGACAUAGUGUGGGGACUAUCUCUCAGGUGAUGUGACUCUUCUGCAUUGGCCUGGCCUAAAGGGGGAAUUGUGACAUAUCUCUGGGCCUACCACCUAGGUGAUGUGACCUUCCUCACCUGCUUGUGCUCUGCCCACAGGAAGAUUUCCAUGUAUCUCUGGGCUCAAUACCUAGGUAAUGGGACUCUUCUGCCUAAGCACUGCUUACAUUAGGCCCAAGACACAAUGAUGUAAGUUUUCACUUCUGCUUGGGCCCUACACAAAGUGGGCAUUGUGACAUAUCAUGGGGCUCAUCACCUAGAUGAUGUAAUUCUUUUGCUUGGGCCUUGCCCACAGUAUAGUGACAUAUUACUAGGCAUAUCACCUAGGUGAUGUGAUAUUUCUGCUCUGGCCUGUACCAUAGAGGGCAUUGUGACAUAUUGCUGAACUUAGUGCUCAGGAGAUGUGACUGAUGGGCCAGGACUGAAUCUACAGGUGGACUGUGACAUAUUUCUUGUCCAGCACCUAGGUGACAUGACUCUUCUUCUUUUUUUUGCACGGGCCCUGACAUCAGUGAGGAUUUUGGCAUAUUGCUGGGCCCUACACCCAAAUGAUGUGACUCUGCUGCCUCAGUUCUGCCAAAAGAAAGCAUUGUGACCUAUCCAAUAGGCUAGAACCUACAUGAUGUGACUUUCCUCUCCUUCCUGAGCCCCGUAAAUGGAGUUAAUUGUGAAAUACUGCUUUGCACAGGACUAAGGUGAUGUGGUUCUCUAGGCUGGGCCCUGCCCAUAAGAGGCAUUGUGACGUAUUGCUGAGCUCAGCAUUCAAGUAAUGUGACUUUCUUGCCAAAGCACUGAACACAGAAGUUGCCUGAAAUAACAUUCAAUCAGCGUGACUCUCCUGUUUGGUCUCUUUACACCGGCCUAGCUCACAGGCAUGAUGAUGACUCUCAUAUGUGGACCCAACUGAUAGAAAAAAUUUUGACUCUCAUGGCUGAAAUUACGGGAAUAGGCCAGGUCUUCUGUUUUCUGCUUGUGGUAAUUCACAGAAGGGGAUGACACUGAAGCACCAACACACAGCUGAGUCCAGGGAUGAGAGCCAUCACCAUCCCUGUGAGCUGAAUCCAUGAGUCACCAUCUCACUUCUGGUGGCAUGCAGGCAGGUGAGGAGGGUCAAAUCAUCUAGAUAAUGAGCCCACAAUAUGUCAACAUGCUCCCUGAUGGAAGGGCAAAUGAAAGACAGUCACAUAGCCAAGGUGAGUAAACCAGAGAUGUCACAAUGCACACUAUACGUAGGGAUCAUGGGAAAGAGGAGCAUCAUAUAACCCAGGGGCUACACCCAGAUACGUGUCACAGUCACCCCACUGGGCAGGGCCUAGGCAUGAGAGGAUAGUCACAUCCCAGAAAUGCUAAGCCAAGUGAUAUGUCACAAUUCCCACUGUGGAUGGGUCCAAGAAAAAAGUCACAUCAUCUACAUGCUGGGGCCACAGUACAUAUCAGUGUUUCCUGUAAGUAUUGCCCAGGCAGAAGAGGCAAGUCAAGUCAGUUGGGUGCAAAACUGAGUGAAAUGUCACAAUGUCUUCUAUAGGCAAAGCCCAGGUGGAAAAGGAGGGUCACAUCAAAUAGUUGAUAGGCCCAGAGAUAUGUCACAAUGCCCCUGUAAGCAGAAACCAGGCAUGAGACUCAAACCACUUUUGUGCUGAGCCCAGCAAUAUGUCACAAUGACUUUUGAGAGCAGGACCAAAUCAAGACAGGAAUGUCACUUUAUUUGGCCUAGCGAUAUGUCACUAUGGUUUAUGUGAGCAGAACAUAGGAAAAAGAGACAAGUCAUAUCAGCUGGGUGCCGAGCCCAGAGAUAUGUGUCGAUCCCCCCAUCAACAGAAAUCAUGCAGGAGAAGAGAGUCAAAACACACGGGUAUGCCCGGGCAUGGUGACCCAUGCCUGUAGUCCCAGCACUUUGGACGGCUGAGGUGGGAGACUCAGAACCUCAACAGUGGGCUGUGUCUGUGUAAAAGGAGACAGUCUUUACUAUUGGCGGCCUGUCCAAAGGAGUGUCACAUUGUCACCUGUGUGCUGGCUCUGUGAGGACAGCCUCUCACCAUUCAAGGGCUGUGCAUACUAUGUAUGAGAGUCAACAUCUGCUCUGGGACCUUCAUGGCGGCAGAAGAAGUGAGUCACAACAUAUGAGUGAUGAACAAAAAGAUGUCACAAUAUCCCUGUUGGCAGGGCCCGGUUAGAAGAGUCGCAUCAGGUAGGUUUUGAUCCCAGCCAUGUAUCACAACACAGAAUAUACGCAGAGCCCAGGAAGAAGAAAAGUCCCCAGCACCUAGAAUCUCGGCUCUGUGAUACAUCACAAUUCCUUCUCGGGCAGAGCCCAAGCAGUAGAACACAGUCACGUCAUCAUUUAGGUGCAUAUAGGUCACAAUAUCCCCUAAGGAAAGGGCCGAGGCAGAAAAAUCUCCUCACCUGGGCAGUGACACACAGGUGUAUCCCAGUGCUUUUUGUGUUAGGGCUCAGGAAGAAGAAGAAAGUCACAAAGCCUGUAGGGUAGACCAAGUCAUACUUCACAGUCACCCUAGUGAGCAUGGUUGAGGCAUGAGUGGAGAGUCACAAGAUUUAGGUGCUGAGCUGAGUGAUGUAUCACAAUGUCCUCUGUGAGCAGGAAUUAGGCAAGAGAAAGGAGUCAAAUCACUUGGGUGAUGGUGCAGACAGAUGUCACAAAAUUCCAGGCAAGAGUAAUAUCAUCUUGGUGUUGGAUUCAGAAAUAUGUCACAAUGCCCCACAAAACAUUGUGGGAAUGACACAAGCAGGAAAGUCACAAAACCUGGGUGUGAGGACUGGCAAUAAAUCAUAAUUUCCCCUGUGGACACACUCAAAAAGGAAAAGGAGACUCCCUUCAUCUAGGUAAUGGGCCCAGAGAUAUAUUCCAAUUACCUCUAUUGGCAGGGACCAGGCAGAAGUGUCCCAUCACCUUUGCGCUAGGCAAUGUGCUGGGUCGCAUCGCCUAGGUGACAAACAGCAACACAUCACUCUUUCUUUCUAAACGUAGUCCAGGCAUAAAAGGAGCAUUGCAUUUCCUCGGUGCUAGGCCCAGAUGUGUUUCACUGUAUCUGUUAUAGGCAAAGAUGUGGUAAGGGGAGAAAGUCCAAUCAAAUAGCUGAUGAGCCCAAAGAUAUGUCACAAUGCACUAUGUGGGCAGGGUCCAAACACAAGACACACUUCACCUUGGCGCUGGUAACAGCAGUAUUCACAAUGCCUUCUGAGGACGGUGCCAAGGCAAAGAGUAACAUCACCAUGGUUUUGGGCCCAGCUUUAUGUCACAAUCUCCCCUGCGAGCAAAACCUCAGAAGACAAGAGAAGUCACAUCAGCUCAGUAAUGAACAAAGUGAUGUUUUAUUCUCCCCUAAGAGCUAAGACCAGGCAAAUAAAGAUAGUGACAGCACUUGGGUGACAGUUCUGGGAUAUGAAACAAGGAUAUGAAACAAUUUUCUAUACAGGGAGGCCUUAGGCAAGAGAGUUCAAUGACAUGGGCAUAGGCCCACUGGUAUAUUACAAUGCCUCCUGUGGGUGGCAUCAAGGCACCAGAGGAGACACACCACCUGAGUGCAAGGCCCAGUGAUGUCAAAAUGCCCCCUCUGCUCAGCGCAGUUAUAUGUUUCAAUCUCAUAUGUGAGCUGGGUCCAGGCAGUAGAGUCAAAUCACUCAGGUGCUGGACUGGGGCAUAUGUAACAAUAACACCUACAGAAGGUCCAGGGUUGAGAUUAACAAUCUCACACAUGUCCCUGUUCUAGGCAUGGGUCCACUUCUGUAGGGUAGCUCUAAGUACACAAGUCACAAUCUCAGUGGUCAACAGGAUCUCCGUGUGAGAGCCGCAUUCCUUUUGUGAAUUGUGUUUUGUAAGUAGAGUCACAGCCUCGUGGGUUUGCUGAAUCUUAAUUUGAGUGUCAUGAAUGCAUUUGUGGAACAGAUUCAUGUAUGAGAGUCAACUUUUAGCCACCUCAGGGUGUGAGAGUCAGAACCUCAACAGUGAGCCGUGUUCAUGUGAAACAAUGACAAUCUUUCCUCUCGCCUGGGUGUGCAUAUACGUUACAAUCUCACUUGUGUGCUGGUCCUGCUAGAACACUCUCUGUACCACUCGAGGGCUUUAUACAAUAUACGUGAGUCAAAAUUUACUCUGAAAUUUUCACACUAGAGGGACCUUUGAUUGUACCUUGGCCCUAAGCCCAGGGGUGAGAGUCAACAUCUUUCUUAUUGACUGUGUCCAGAUAGGAGAGUUUUCACCUGCCUACAAGCUGUGUUUAACCAUGAGUAACCAUUCCAUUUGUGGCUUGAUGUUGCGGUGUCAAUGUCACAAUUUAAGCUGUAGACUGCGUUUGCAUGUGAGAUUCAAAACAUCACCUGUAGGCUCUAUCAAUGUGAGAGGGUAGGUGAGAGUAGUAACUUUCUAUAACCUUCUCACAAAGAGGAGACACAGGGCCUUACUUAUUUUUCUAAGCCUAAAUAGGAGAGUCAGUAUCUCUUCUGUUGGCUGGUUCAACACACAAGGUAUGCUAGUCAUUAUUACACCUGUGAGCUGAACCAAGGUAUAUGUCACAAUGCCACCUCUCAGUAGGAACAAGCAGGAGAGACGCAGCACCCAGGCACUAGGCCAUGGAUAUGUCACAGUCUGUUAUGAAAGCAGAGACCAGGCUGGAGAGUCACAUCAUUAGCGUGCUUAGCCAAGAACAUUUUAACAUCUCCUCCUGAAAGCAGUGCAACAGGAACAAAAUCAGCUCACCUGGGUGCUGGGCCCAGCAAUAUGUCACAAUGCCCUCUGUGGGAAAAUCCCAGGCAGGAGAGACACAUCAACAGGUUGCUGGGUGCAGAAAUAAGUCACAAUUUUUUUGGUUGGCAAAGUUCAGGCAGAAAAUGUGUCACAACCCUGAGGUGAUGGAUGCAGACAUAUGUCACAGGCUCACUGCAGGCAGGGCUCAGGCAGGAGCCUCACAUCCUCUAGGUUCUGGGCCUGUGAUGAUCAUAAGUGAAUAUGGCCACAGUUUCCAUGGUGACUCAUUGAUGGACUCAGAUCACAGGAACAGUGAUAACUCUCAUACCUGGAUCCAGCCAAGAAGAGAGAUGUUCAAUCUCGUUCCUGAUUCUAGGGAAUGAAUAAGAUUGUGGAUCCACAGGCAGGAAGGUCUCAGAGCAGAUACUGACUCUCAGGUGUAUAUUUUAAAGCCAUUUAGCUGCACAGUGUGUCAUAAUAGGGCCCAGGACACCAAUGAGACUGUGACUCUUGUAUCCACAGCCAGCUGAAAGUAAGAAUUGUCACCCUCCCACUUGAAUAUAGCACAGUGUUGGCAAAUCUCAGAGCUGGAGGCAGUCAACAUUUGGAAUUGUGUCUCAGACAAGAAUCCAGUCCACAAGUGAGUUAGUGACUCUCCGACCUGGAUCUGACACACCUGUGAGGCUGUGAGUUCCCCACUGGGACAUGGUCUGCUGGUGAGAUUGAGGUCUCAUGCACAUACCCAGUCCACCACUGAGUUUGUGACUCCUGUUCUAGGACCCAACACACAGAUGUUGAAUCUCAUACCUAGAGCUGGGACAUAUACAGGAUUGUCAAUCUCAUCCCUGUACCUUCCCACAAAUGUGAUCAUGACAUAUGUCUUUGCCCAGCUCCUUAGAAAUUUGACUUUCCUGCCCAGGCCCAGCCCCAAACUGAAAUUGUGACAUAUACCGGGGCAAGCACUUAAAGGCUGUGACUUUAUUCUUUUGCUUGGGAGCUGCAAACAGAAAAGAUUGAGACAUAUUGCUAAGCCCAGCAUUUAGGUUAUGUGAUUCUUCCUCCAGCGACAUUGUGAUAUAUUCUUCCCUGGAUUAUGGAACAUUGGGAAAUAUUCCUCCCUGGAAUAUGAGAUAUUGUGACAUCCUUCCCUGUUCCUACAGGAGCAUUGUGACAUUUCUCUGGGAACAUUAACUAGAUUAAGGGACUCCCCUCUCAUACCUGGGUCAUUCCCUCAGGGGGAUUAUGACAUAUCACUGGACUCAGAACCUAGGUGAUCGGAUUCUCCUCUGCUGCUCGGACCCCAUCCACAGUGGGGUAAUAUGAAUGGUAAUAUAUUGCCGAGCCCAGCAACUAGAUGAGGUCACUUUCCUCUCCUGCCUGGAAUUUGCUCAGUAGGGAAGAGUUACAUACCGCUUGGCCCAGCACCUAGGCUCUGCCUAUGGAGAACAGUGUGACAUGUCUCCGCAUCCAUGUGAUGUGACUCUCCUGUCUGGUUCUGGCUGACAGAAGAGAAUGUAACAUAUCACAGGACCCAGCACCUAGGCCCUGACAUCAGUGAGGAUUUUGGCAUAUUGCUGGGCCCUACACCCAAAUGAUGUGACUCUGCUGCCUCAGUUCUGCCAAAUAAAAGCAUUGUGACCUAUCCAAUAGGCUAGAACCUACAUGAUGUGACUUUCCUCUCCUUCCUGAGCCCCGUAAAUGGAGUUAAUUGUGAAAUACUGCUUUGCACAGGACCAAGGUGAUGUGGUUCUCUAGGCUGGGCCCUGCCCAUAAGAGGCAUUGUGACAUAUUGCUGAGCUCAGCAUUCAAGUAAUGUGACUUUCUUGCCAGGGCCCUGAAUAUAGAGGUUUCUUGAAAUAUUCCUAGACCAACAUUCAAUCAGCAUGACUCUCUUGUUUGGUCUCUUUACACCGGCCUAGCUCACAGGCGUGAUGAUGACUCUCAUAUGUGGACCCAACUGAUAGGAAAGAUUUUGACUCUCAUGGCUGGAAUUAGGGGAAUAGGUCAGGUCUUCUGUUUUCUGCUUGUGGUAAUUCACAGAAGGGGAUGACACUGAAGCACCAACACACAGGUGAGAUUGUGCAUCCCAUAGGCAUGCCCAGCCAACAAUUAGAAUUGUCACUCUUACACAUGGGCAGAACCUACUGGUGAGGUCCUGAGUCACACAUGUGGACAUCAUCCACAGUUAGAGUUGUGACUGUCGUAUGUAAAUUCGGCAACGUGUGAGAUGAUGACUCAUUUCUAGACCAAGCUCACAGGUGUAAUGAUGACCCUCAUAUUUGAAUUUAGCCAAUAGAAGAGGUGUUGAUUUUGUAGCUGGGCUUAGGGCAUUGAGCAAGGCCCCAAGUCUUCUGUCUGCAGAAAGUUCUGAGAGAUUACCCCACUCAUGCAUAUAAUAUAAAGCCCUUAAAGUUCACAGAGUUUUAUAACAGGACCCAGUACAAAGGUGAGACUGUGACUCCUCUGUGCACAUCCAGCUGACAGGAUCAUCACCCUCACACAUGAACAGAGCCCACUGCUGAGGGUAUGGGUCUCACUUAUGGAUACAGCUCACAGUUUGAAUUGUGACUGUAUAUGUGAAUUUUACCACAGGUGGGAUGUCUUAUUUCUGAACGCAGCUCAUAGGUGCAGUGAUGACUCUCAUACCUGGACCCAGCAAAGAGGAGAAAUGAUGAAUCUUGUAAUAGGAAGUUAUGCAUGUGUAUGUGUGUGUUUCAGUUCCUUGGGCUUUGAAAAAUUGAUUCUACAUUAUCUUAUACAGAUGCAAAUGUAUUAGGUGGUUUUUUUGCAAGGCUGUAUGUAUAUUCCUUCUGUUGAUUGAAAUAUUGUCAUUGGUGUUAUGUAGAUAUAUUUGUAGAUCUCAGAACAGAAACAAUAUUGUAAAUAUUAUAGCUUAAUAAAUGUUGAUGGUAUGUAAAUAUAUCAAUAAUACAUAUUUAGAAGGUAGUUGUUAACAAUUGCUUAGAGCUCACGUGGUCAGCCAAGGCCUAUCUUCUUGAAAACCAUGCUGAAAUGGCACUUCUUCAUUACAGUAUCUCUUGGGGUAAAAUAAUCCUUACUAAGAAUGGUCAAAAUAAGAUUUAAAAAUUUGUUGGAGAUAAAUCUUAUGUGUAAAGAAACAGAGCUGUGGAAAAAAAAUGUUCAGGGAAAUAUAAAUAAAUCAAUUUUACCACAGUUAUUUAAAAAAAAAAAAGCUUCAAAGUCAAAUCAAAUUUAUUUAUUCAACUAAAAAUUGUAAGUACAAUGGUGAAUGAAAUUAAAGGCCUCUGACCACAAAGUUUACACUGUAGGGUUUGAAAAACAGACAAUUAGAUAAUAAGUAAUCCUCAUAUAGUGCUGGUAGUAUAAGUUGGUACUACAUUCUGAAAGAGGGCUUGCCAAUGUCUACACAAGCUGAAGAAAGAAAUUUAUUCUAAUUAUAUUUGUGGUUAAAUAUCUACAUAAUUGCACAAAUUUAUCUUUAAAAAUCCACAAGAUGGUCUAUAGAAGUGCUGAAAAGCCUGGAAAAUUACCAGCUGUUCAUUAACAGUUGAAUAAGUGAAUUUAGUUUAUAUGAUGUCACAUUGUAGAUCAAUGAAUAUGCAAACUAUAUGCAGCAACGGAGAUUAAUCUCACAAACAAUGAUGAGCCAAAAAAACCUGGACAAAAAUGAGAACUUACUGUCUUAAUCUAAAGUUCAAAAACAGGCAAAUAUUAUUUAUCGUAUAAAAAGCCAGGAUAUACGUUUCUCUUGAGUGAACAGUGACGGGAAAGGAGAAAAAAGGAGGGAGAGUGCCAGGAUGCUCACACUCUUCCAUCACUGGGUGCUGGGUUCAUGGUAUAUGCAUUUUGUACAGAUUUAUCAAGCUGUUCUUUUAUAACAUAUGUGCUUUUUAGGUGUGUAAAAUUAAAAACAUUUCUUUGAAUGUUUCUAUUUACCGUUUUUAUUUUUUCCUCAAUCAGUUUUUUGUCACUUAUUUUUCUGGAAAAACAGGUAGUUUUAUCUAAAUUUUAUAAUUUAAUAAAAUUGUUUUUUUGUUGUUUGUUUGUUUUUUUGAGAGGAAGUCUCACUCUUGUUACCCAGGCUGGAGUGCAAUGGCGCGAUCUCGGCUCACCGCAACCUCCGCCUCCUGGGUUCAGGCAAUUCUCCUGCCUCAGCCUCCUGAGUAGCUGGGAUUACAGGCACGCACCACCUUGCCCAGCUAAUUUUUUGUAUUUUUAGUAGGGAUGGGGUUUCACCUUGUUGACCAGGAUGGUCUCGAUCUCUUGACCUCGUGAUCCGCCCGCCUCAGCCUUUCAAAGUGCUGGAAUUACAGGCUUGAGCCACCGCGUCCGGCCCCAGAAAAUUGUGUAAAAUAUUAUCUAAUGUUUAAGUCUCGAAUGUAUCUACGUUCUGUCUUUUUUAAUGUUUUUAUUGUUCUUAAUGUAAAUUUAUCUAAUUUAUUAUAACAUUCAAAUAACAACACGAAUUUCACUGCCAUGUUUUUAUUAUUUUUUAUUGCAUUUUAGGUUUUGGGGUACAUGUGAAGAACAUGCAAGAUUGUUGCAUAGGUACACACAUGGCAGUGUGAUUUGCUGCCUUCCUCCCCAUCACCUAUAUCUGGCAUUUCUCCCCAUGCUCUCUCUCUCCAACUCCCCACCCCCCGCUGUCCCUCCCCUAUUU
Callithrix jacchus (white-tufted-ear marmoset) is the source of this 10155-nucleotide non-coding RNA. Lineage: Eukaryota; Metazoa; Chordata; Mammalia; Primates; Cebidae. The record is from RefSeq and is a predicted model, not a curated record.